This 395-nucleotide ribosomal RNA is filed under the name uncultured bacterium. RNAcentral's name for it is "bacterial SSU rRNA". It matches the Rfam family "Bacterial small subunit ribosomal RNA", at positions 28 to 429 of the family's 1533-position model. The record is from RNAcentral.
GACGAACGCUGGCGGCGUGCUUAACACAUGCAAGUCGAGCGGUAAGGCCCUUUCGGGGGUACACGAGCGGCGAACGGGUGAGUAACACGUGGGUGACCUGCCCUCAGCUCUGGGAGAAGCCUGGGAAACCGGGUCUAAUACCGGAUAUGACUCCAUGACGCAUGUUGUGGGGUGGAAAGCCUUGUGCGGCUGAGGAUGGGCCCGCGGCCUAUCAGCUUGUUGGUGGGGUGAUGGCCUACCAAGGCGACGACGGGUAGCCGGCCUGAGAGGGCGACCGGCCACACUGGGACUGAGACACGGCCCAGACUCCUACGGGAGGCAGCAGUGGGGAAUCUUGCGCAAUGGGCGAAAGCCUGACGCAGCGACGCCGCGUGAGGGAUGACGGCCUGUGUAAC